AGCACUAUUGCUGGGUCAUAUGGUAAGAGUAUUUUUAGCUUUUUAAGAAACUGCCAGACUAUCUUCCAAAGUAGCCAAACCGUCUUGUAUUCCCACUGGCAAU
RNAcentral lists this microRNA precursor (103 nucleotides) under Marmota monax (woodchuck). The record is from RNAcentral. Lineage: Eukaryota; Metazoa; Chordata; Mammalia; Rodentia; Sciuridae.